GUCUACAGCCAUACCACCUUGAAUGCAUCUUAUCUCGGGAGCUAAGCAGGGUCAGGCCUGGUUAGUACUUGGAUGGGAGAAAGCUAGGGUCUCUGAUCC
RNAcentral lists this ribosomal RNA (99 nucleotides) under Nannospalax galili (Upper Galilee mountains blind mole rat). The record is from RNAcentral. Lineage: Eukaryota; Metazoa; Chordata; Mammalia; Rodentia; Spalacidae.